This 416-nucleotide long non-coding RNA is filed under the name Vigna radiata. RNAcentral describes it as "long non-coding RNA (VRAD_LNC010748)". Lineage: Eukaryota; Viridiplantae; Streptophyta; Magnoliopsida; Fabales; Fabaceae. The record is from RNAcentral.
UUGAACUAUAAACUAUAAUGGGUAAAAUUGGAAUGUGAGGUGUAAAAAUUGGGGAUAGGGUUGUUAUUGUGUAUAGAUAAAGAAAAGAGUGAAACAUAGACGGAGCAAACACGACAAGGGCAGAUCGGUAAUUGUAGGGGGUUUGACUGGUGCCGGACGCGUUGGAAUCGAAGUUAAGGAAUGAGGAUAAUGCAAGCACGUGAAAGGAAUGGAAGGAGCGAGUGGAGUCAAGCUCUCACGCGCUGCGACUGGGGACUGUUAAGUUACAAUGUCCAAUUAUCUUGCAUGGCCCGCUACCUCACGCUACGCAAUCACGUAAUUCGCAACUCCAACACCUAUUUCCACUUCUAUCUUGUUUGGGGCACGCGCUUUUUCGUUUUUAAGUUUCACAUUAUAUUUCGAAGAACUUUAUGUGC